Molecule: ribosomal RNA, 479 nt
Filed under: Phyllium rubrum
Lineage: Eukaryota; Metazoa; Arthropoda; Insecta; Phasmatodea; Phylliidae
Description: partial large subunit ribosomal RNA
Rfam family: Bacterial large subunit ribosomal RNA
Source: RNAcentral
UUAUUUAAUGGCCGCGGUAUUUUGACCGUGCAAAGGUAGCAUAAUCAUUAGCUUAUUGAUUGUAAGAUUGUAUGAAUGGUUGGACGAAAUAUUAGCUGUCUUGUUUUUAUUAUUUAGAAUUUAAUUUUUGAGUUAAAAAGCUUAAAUUUUUUUAAAGGACGAGAAGACCCUAUAGAUCUUUAUUUUCACUAUUAUUUUAUUUUUGUGUUUAUUUAUUUUUUGAAUUUUUGGUUGGGGCGAUUUGGGGAUAUUAUUAACUCCUUAUAUUUUUUUUUCAUUUAUUUAUGUUUAGUUGAUCUUUUAUUAUUGUUUACAAGAUUAAGAUACCUUAGGGAUAACAGCGUAAUUCCUUUUGAGAGCUCAUAUUGACGAUGGAGAUUGCGACCUCGAUGUUGAAUUAAGAUUAAUAUUAGGUGUAGAAGUUUAUUUAUUGGGUCUGUUCGACCCUUAAAAUCUUACAUGAUCUGAGUUCAAACCGG